AGAGUUUGAUCAUGGCUCAGAACAAACGCUGGCGGCGUGCCUAAUACAUGCAAGUCGAACGGGGAAAGUUCUUCGGAAUGAGUACUAGUGGCGUACGGGUGAGCAACACGUGGAUAAUCUUCCUUCAGGUGGGGAAUAACGAGUCGAAAGAUUCGCUAAUACCGCAUAAGACCACAGUAACUUUGGUUACAGGGGUUAAAGACUUCGGUCGCCUUUAGAUGAGUCCGCGUCCGAUUAGCUAGUUGGUGAGGUAAUGGCUCACCAAGGCGACGAUCGGUAACUGGUCUGAGAGGACGGCCAGUCACACUGGGACUGAGACACGGCCCAGACUCCUACGGGAGGCAGCAGUAGGGAAUUUUGCACAAUGGAGGAAACUCUGAUGCAGCGACGCCGCGUGAGUGAUGAAGGCCUUCGGGUCGUAAAGCUCUGUUCUCAGGGAAUAAAAAAUGAAGGUACCUGAGGAGAAAGGACCGGCUAACUUCGUG
Molecule: ribosomal RNA, 485 nt
Filed under: uncultured bacterium
Lineage: Bacteria
Description: bacterial SSU rRNA
Rfam family: Bacterial small subunit ribosomal RNA
Source: RNAcentral